This 379-nucleotide unclassified non-coding RNA is filed under the name uncultured Gammaproteobacteria bacterium. RNAcentral describes it as "contains 16S-23S intergenic spacer region". Lineage: Bacteria; Pseudomonadati; Pseudomonadota; Gammaproteobacteria. The record is from RNAcentral.
UCCGGUUUGUCACCGGCAGUCUCGUUAAAGUGCCCAACCAAAUGAUGGCAAUUAACGACAAGGGUUGCGCUCGUUGCGGGACUUAACCCAACAUCUCACGACACGAGCUGACGACAGCCAUGCAGCACCUGUGUUGCGGUUCCCUUUCGGGCACCGAGGUAUCUCUACCCCGUUCCGCACAUGUCAAGGGUAGGUAAGGUUUUUCGCGUUGCAUCGAAUUAAUCCACAAAAUCCACCGCUUGUGCGGGUCCCCGUCAAUUCCUUUGAGUUUUAGCCUUGCGGCCGUACUCCCCAGGCGGUCAACUUCUCGCGUUAGCUGCGUUACUAAGGGAUUUAACUCCCCCAACAACUAGUAGACAUAGUUUAGGGCGUGGACUAC